AUACGAGGGGUGCAAGCGUUAAUCGGAAUUACUGGGCGUAAAGCGUACGUAGGCGGUUCGUUAAGUUAGAUGUGAAAGCCCCGGGCUUAACCUGGGAACUGCAUUUAAAACUGGCGAACUAGAGUUGAGUAGAGGGGAGUGGAAUUUCAGGUGUAGCGGUGAAAUGCGUAGAGAUCUGAAGGAACACCAGUGGCGAAGGCGACUCCCUGGACUCGAACUGACGCUGAGGUACGAAAGCGUGGGUAGCAAACGGGAUUAGAAACCCUAGUAGUCC
RNAcentral lists this ribosomal RNA (274 nucleotides) under uncultured bacterium. Its description in RNAcentral is "partial 16S ribosomal RNA". It matches the Rfam family "Bacterial small subunit ribosomal RNA", at positions 523 to 796 of the family's 1533-position model. The record is from RNAcentral.